Molecule: unclassified non-coding RNA, 226 nt
Filed under: Hevea brasiliensis (rubber tree)
Lineage: Eukaryota; Viridiplantae; Streptophyta; Magnoliopsida; Malpighiales; Euphorbiaceae
Source: RNAcentral
GUGUACAGCUAUGGGAUCCUUGUGUUAGAGAUUUUCUCAAAACGAAGACCAACCGAUGAGAUGUUUAAAGAGGGAUUAAAUCUCCAUGAUUUUGUGAGCUCAGCAUUGCCAGAAAGACUUGUAGAAGUUGUGGAUCUAACCCUUGUCUCCAGAGAAAUUUCAGAUGAAGAAUUUGAAGAUGCAGAAGAAAUCAAUAGCUAUGAAAAUUUGAGCCAUGUGACAACAA